UAUUCACAACAAAUAAAAUACUAAACCCCAUACGUUUGAAAAUUGAGUAGAAGGAAAGAUGUCUUUCUCUGAAGAACUACUGAGCGGGAGGAGACAGACAGCACACCCGUUGCCGUGGCAACCGCCUGCGCCCCGCAAGUCAAGCAAAGAUGACAUUAAAAACACAACAUCCUCUCCAUUAUAAUAUCAGUUCCACAAUAAAGUUUGAUGCAGCUCUGGUUUCCUGAAUG
Long non-coding RNA from Poecilia reticulata (guppy), 230 nucleotides. RefSeq lists it as uncharacterized. The record is from RefSeq and is a predicted model, not a curated record. Lineage: Eukaryota; Metazoa; Chordata; Actinopteri; Cyprinodontiformes; Poeciliidae.